GAACUAUGCUCACCCUUUAUAGUUAUGAAAUAAUAAACAUUGUCAGUUGCAAUCAAUUCGCACGUAAUUUCCAGAUUUAUGAUGACAGUGCAAGCGUUUGCAUUGUCGAUGGGAUCUUGCUCUGAUAACGGGUUAUCAUUCAAAAGAGUAUAAAUACUCUUGAUCAAUAUUUAAAUUAGCACAAUUAAUUAGAGCUUCUCAAAGUAUUCACACUGCUCCAAAAUGAAGUUUUUCUACUUCCUUGCCUUUUUUAUUGUCAUGGUCUCAAUGGUUGAGUAUGUCAAAACUGAUUGCUGCAACUAUGUGUAUUUCCAUGGAGAAUAUAGAUGUCGUGAUGGACCCUUGACCGAAGGUAGUUGCUGUGGACGAGGUCGUUGCAAUAUCUUCUGUUGUGACUGUGAAGGAGGCUGUAGAUAAAAUCGUCGAUUUUUUCCUUACAAUUUUUUUUUUAAUUCCUGUGUUUUCAAUCUGAAAAUAAAAUAUUUGUGUUCUUAGAAGUUAAAA
Episyrphus balteatus (marmalade hoverfly) is the source of this 504-nucleotide long non-coding RNA. RefSeq lists it as uncharacterized. The record is from RefSeq and is a predicted model, not a curated record. The transcript has 2 exons. NCBI's taxonomy places the organism in Eukaryota, Metazoa, Arthropoda, Insecta, Diptera, Syrphidae.